AACGCGAAGAACCUUACCUGGGUUUGACAUUUAGGGAAAAGCCGUAGAGAUACGGUGUCCUUCGGGUCCUAAACAGGUGCUGCAUGGCUGUCGUCAGCUCGUGCCGUGAGGUGUUGGGUUAAGUCCCGCAACGAGCGCAACCCUUACUCGUAGUUGCUACCCGCAAGGGAGAACUCUACGAGGACUGCUCCGGAUAACGGAGAGGAAGGUGGGGAUGACGUCAAGUCAGCACGGCCUUUAUGUCCAGGGCUACACACGUGUUACAAUGCACGGUACAGACUGUUGCGAACCCGCGAGGGGGAGCUAAUCGGAUAAAACCGUGCUCAGUUCGGAUUGCAGUCUGCAACUCGGCUGCAUGAAGCUGGAAUCGCUAGUAAUGGCGUAUCAGAUCGACGCCGUGAAUACGUUCCCGGGCCUUGUACACACCGUAGAGAC
Molecule: ribosomal RNA, 435 nt
Filed under: uncultured bacterium
Lineage: Bacteria
Description: bacterial SSU rRNA
Rfam family: Bacterial small subunit ribosomal RNA
Source: RNAcentral